RNAcentral lists this non-coding RNA (78 nucleotides) under Nitrosomonas europaea. RNAcentral's name for it is "SAH sequence". It matches the Rfam family "SAH (S-adenosyl-L-homocysteine) riboswitch aptamer". RNAcentral also lists the same sequence under 2 other names. Lineage: Bacteria; Pseudomonadati; Pseudomonadota; Betaproteobacteria; Nitrosomonadales; Nitrosomonadaceae. The record is from RNAcentral.
UGGUACCGAGGAGCGCUGCAGCGGUCAAUUCCGUGAGGCUCGUACCAAUGGACAACCCAACAACGGCGCUCUUUCACU